RNAcentral lists this unclassified non-coding RNA (458 nucleotides) under Zea mays. RNAcentral's name for it is "misc RNA Zm00001eb393030". The record is from RNAcentral. Lineage: Eukaryota; Viridiplantae; Streptophyta; Magnoliopsida; Poales; Poaceae.
AAAGGACUCGUCAUCUCUCUUCCUCUCCCUCGUCUCGUCUUUCCUGCGUGCACAACAGGAUCCUUCGCCUUGCUACUGUUCGGCGCUUCCACUGCACAACAGUAUUUUCUACAGCUAGGAAGGAGCCAGAGCGCCCAUGGACAUGACCUCCAACACCAGCAACAGCGCUGCAGCAGCAUCAUCGGCUCCCCACAACCACCAGCCGGAGUACAAGGAAUGUCGUCACUAGAACUAUCCUCCCCGCUCCCUUCACCGGAGCUGCUCGUUGUCUGCCAUUCAAGUUUGGUCGCGUCUUCAUCAACUUUGUUAGACGCACCAGUGCAGACCACAUCCAUACUAGGCUGCUCGUUGUCUGCCAUUCAAGCUGGUUCCAUCGAUAAAGGGAUAUACUGUUAGUCUGAUAUACUGGUUCCAUCAAUAAGGGAACUUGGAGAAAAGGUGAUUCAAAAGAAAUCGAG